CACGUGAGUAAUCUGCCCUUCACUUCGGGAUAAGCCUCGGAAACGGGGUCUAAUACCGGAUAUGACCACUUCACGCAUGUGAUGGUGGUGGAAAGUUUUUCGGUGGGGGAUGUGCUCGCGGCCUAUCAGCUUGUUGGUGGGGUAAUGGCCUACCAAGGCUUCGACGGGUAGCCGGCCUGAGAGGGUGACCGGCCACACUGGGACUGAGACACGGCCCAGACUCCUACGGGAGGCAGCAGUGGGGAAUAUUGGACAAUGGGCGGAAGCCUGAUCCAGCAACGCCGCGUGAGGGAUGACGGC
RNAcentral lists this ribosomal RNA (300 nucleotides) under uncultured Nocardioidaceae bacterium. RNAcentral's name for it is "bacterial SSU rRNA". It matches the Rfam family "Bacterial small subunit ribosomal RNA", at positions 114 to 415 of the family's 1533-position model. The record is from RNAcentral. Lineage: Bacteria; Bacillati; Actinomycetota; Actinomycetes; Propionibacteriales; Nocardioidaceae.